ACAUUUGGUGCACUACCUCACAGAAGGGGGCGUUCCCGGUCUGAAGCAGAGCUCAGGACAUUUCAGCACCGAGCUCAGUGUGGAGGGAGAGCUGAGUGAGGAGGGACGUUGCUGCUCGGCCCAAGUGGAUACAAGCCAAGAUGUUCUUCCUUCUCGAAAAACCCUCCUUCUAAAACGGUUCUUUUUUCAAGCUGGGAACAUAAGUAAGGCUCGUGAAUCUACCGCGAGGUGACCAGCCGAGACAGAUGAGUCCGUGGUCUCUCUGAGUCCUGUGGUAACCUCUGCCUUUGUUCGUGACAUCUGUCCUUCACCUCCAGGAUGGAUCAUUUAGAGAAGGAGCACAGGUCGGACGAGGAGGCUGAAUAUGAAGAGGAGGAGGUGGACCCCAGAAUCCAGGGGGAGCUGGAGAAACUCAACCAGUCCACAGACGACAUCAACAGAUGUGAGACGGAGCUGG
Micropterus salmoides (largemouth bass) is the source of this 457-nucleotide long non-coding RNA. RefSeq lists it as uncharacterized. The transcript is spliced from 3 exons. The record is from RefSeq and is a predicted model, not a curated record. Lineage: Eukaryota; Metazoa; Chordata; Actinopteri; Centrarchiformes; Centrarchidae.